Molecule: ribosomal RNA, 548 nt
Filed under: uncultured eukaryote
Lineage: Eukaryota
Description: SSU rRNA
Rfam family: Eukaryotic small subunit ribosomal RNA
Source: RNAcentral
UGUAGUCAUAUGCUUGUCUCAAAGAUUAAGCCAUGCAUGUCUAAGUAUAAGCAAUCUAUACUGUGAAACUGCGAAUGGCUCAUUAAAUCAGUUAUCGUUUAUUUGAUAGUACCUUACUACUUGGAUAACCGUGGUAAUUCUAGAGCUAAUACAUGCUAAAAACCCCGACUUUUGGAGGGGUGUAUUUAUUAGAUAAAAAACCAAUGCCCUUCGGGGCUCCUUGGUGAUUCAUAAUAACUUAACGAAUCGCAUGGCCUUGUGCCGGCGAUGGUUCAUUCAAAUUUCUGCCCUAUCAACUUUCGAUGGUUAGGUCUUGGCUAACCAUGGUUUCAACGGGUAACGGGGAAUUAGGGUUCUAUUCCGGAGAGUGAGCCUGAGAAACGGCUAACACAUCCAAGGAAGGCAGCAGGCGCGCAAAUUACCCAAUCCCGACACGGGGAGGUAGUGACAAUAAAUACUGAUCCAGGGCUCUUUUGGGUCUUGGAAUUGGAAUGAGUACAAUUUAAGUCCCUUAACGAGGAACAAUUGGAGGGCAAGUCUGGUAAUCG